AUCUUGUGGUUUAAACCAAAGCUGCCUUUUGGAAACUCCCGCUGAUUCUCCAGCCUCAUGGAGGGUGGCAGGUUCCUCUUUUAAGUGUUCCAGGCUAGGAGUUGCGUGGUUAACGCUGGGGUAAUACACACUCUGUAUUUGCUACCACAGCCCCCCACCCCUAGAAGUCUCCCAAGAGGAAAUCGGUGGUGUGGUCAUGCACAGCUCCUGUGCUCCUGAUGGAGACUGUUGUGGAUCCAGGGCCAUCUAGACAUCUAGAACUGGGAUGACCAGGACAUUUGGGCGUGAAAGGGGCCCUACAAGCCUUAACAGAUACUAAAGAACGUCAGACAAGCAGAAUGAGGAUGGCCCCAGGCAAGGUGGACCCCACCCCAGCUGCAGGGAACAGCAAGGCUGCAGGUACCUGCUCAUUUCCAGCUCCCAGCCUCCCUCAGAACACAGACUGCCUUGCCAUUUUCUUAGCGAGCGGUUUGCAGCAAAGUGCUAUUUUGCUCUCGAACGCCUUCCUUUCCAAUUGGGACAAACGGCUAUGAAUACGGCACACCCUGUUUUGCAUUCAAACUGUUGGGAAAGUUUUGCGGCUGUAAAUAUCAUGCUCUUGGUGCUCAAGACAGAAUUAUUAUUACUUUUUCCUUAGUUCUUGGAACCAGUGAUAAAUUAAACAUUUCUUUUGCCCCCCC
Homo sapiens (human) is the source of this 680-nucleotide long non-coding RNA. NCBI's taxonomy places the organism in Eukaryota, Metazoa, Chordata, Mammalia, Primates, Hominidae. The record is from Ensembl.